AACGAACGCUGGCGGCAUGCCUAACACAUGCAAGUCGAACGCCUGUAGCAAUACAGGAGUGGCAGACGGGUGAGUAACACGUAGGAAUCUACCCAGUAGCUCGGAAUAACCGCGGGAAACUGCGGCUAAUACCGGAUACGCCCCACGGGGAAAGGAGCAAUCCACUAUUGGAGGAGCCUGCGUCCGAUUAGCUAGUUGGCGGGGUAACGGCCCACCAAGGCGACGAUCGGUAGCUGGUUUGAGAGAACGACCAGCCACACUGGGACUGAGACACGGCCCAGACUCCUACGGGAGGCAGCAGUGGGGAAUAUUGGACAAUGGGGGAAACCCGUGAUCCAGCAAUGCCGCGUGGGUGAUGAAGGCC
Molecule: ribosomal RNA, 364 nt
Filed under: uncultured bacterium
Lineage: Bacteria
Description: bacterial SSU rRNA
Rfam family: Bacterial small subunit ribosomal RNA
Source: RNAcentral